UACGGAAGGCAGCAGUGGGGAAUAUUGCACAAUGGGCGCAGGCCUGAUGCAGCCAUGCCGCGUGUAUGAAGAAGGCCUUCGGGUUGUAAAGUACUUUCAGUCGUGAGGAAGGUGUUAAGGUUAAUAACCUUAGCAAUUGACGUUAGCGACAGAAGAAGCACCGGCUAACUCCGUGCCAGCAGCCGCGGUAAUACGGAGGGUGCGAGCGUUAAUCGGAAUUACUGGGCGUAAAGGGCACGCAGGCGGUUAAUUAAGUUGGAUGUGAAAUCCCCGGGCUUAACCUGGGAAUGGCAUUCAAGACUGGUUAGCUAGAGUCUUGUAGAGGGGGUAGAAUUCCAUGUGUAGCGGUGAAAUGCGUAGAGAUGUGGAGGAAUACCGGUGGCGAAGGCGGCCCCUGGGACAAAGACUGACGCUCAUGUGCGAAAGCAUGGGGAGCAAACGAGGAUUAGGAUACC
RNAcentral lists this ribosomal RNA (455 nucleotides) under uncultured bacterium. RNAcentral describes it as "bacterial SSU rRNA". It matches the Rfam family "Bacterial small subunit ribosomal RNA", at positions 340 to 786 of the family's 1533-position model. The record is from RNAcentral.